UGCAGAAUCCCGUGAACCAUCGAGUCUUUGAACGCAAGUUGCGCCCGAAGCCUUCUGGCCGAGGGCACGCCUGCCUGGGUGUCA
This 84-nucleotide ribosomal RNA is filed under the name Hypericum perforatum. Its description in RNAcentral is "partial 5.8S ribosomal RNA". It matches the Rfam family "5.8S ribosomal RNA", at positions 73 to 154 of the family's 154-position model. From Rfam's summary of the family: 5.8S ribosomal RNA (5.8S rRNA) is a component of the large subunit of the eukaryotic ribosome. The record is from RNAcentral. RNAcentral also lists the same sequence under 1 other name. Lineage: Eukaryota; Viridiplantae; Streptophyta; Magnoliopsida; Malpighiales; Hypericaceae.